CCGCCGGCGCCGCGCGGGGCCUGAUGGGAGCGCGGCCGCAGCUGCCCGCCCUUCCUUCGGCGGCGGGAGGCAACGCAGGCGGCGGCGGGAUGCGCGGCCCGGCCCGCGGCAGCUGUGAAUUAUAGUAGAAGAUUGGACAAACGCUGGUAGAUUUAUCAUACAUAGAAGAUGGGUGGAUUAAUUUCAAGAUGGAGGCAGGCAAAGCCUUCCACUGUAGAAGUAUUAGAAAAAAUUGAUAAGGAAAUACAGAUGUUAGAAGAAUUUAGAGAAAAAAAUCAGAGACUCCAGAAACUAUGGGUUGGAAGACUACUCCUCUACUCUUCACUGCUUUAUCUUAUCACCUGUUUAAUUGUGUAUUUGUGGUGUCUUCCUGAUGAAUGGACAGCAAGGUUGAUUAUGACACUUCCAUUUUUUGCAUUUCCAUUGAUAAUCUGGUUUAUAAGAACACUGCUCAUUUUUUUCUUUUCCAAAAGGACAGAAAAGAAUAAUGAUGCAUUGGAAGAUUUAAAAUCUCGGAAGAAAAAAAUACUUGAAGAAGUAAUGGAGAAGGAAACUUACAAGACUGCAAAAUUAAUUCUUGAGAGGUUUGAUCCAGAAUCAAAUGCAAAGGAGGCCGAACUCCCAUCUGCUGGAACAUCUGCAACCCCCAGACCUGGGCAAGAAAUUCGUCAGAGGACCACAGCUCAAAGAAAUGCUUCUACACCCACUCCUGCAAUUCCUAAACAAGGCUCUCCAAAAUCGCCAGUUCCAGUAACAGCAUCUCCUAAUCUGCAGAGAGACCCAUCAGCUCUGAGUGGACUCCCAGAAAGAACUGCUGUGCCAUCCUUGCAGUCAAAUGUUUUACCAAGACGCCCUGGGUCCCCUGCUACUUCAGUGCCUGGAAUGGGUCUUCAUCCUCCAGGCCCUCCUUUAGCAAGACCUAUUCUUCCUCGAGAAAGGGGAGUUGUGGAUAGAGUUAUUGAAUAUUUGGUUGGUGAUGGUCCUCAGAACAGGUACGCCCUAAUAUGUCAGCAAUGUUUUUCUCACAAUGGUAUGGCUUUGAAGGAAGAGUUUGAAUAUGUAGCUUUUAGGUGUGCCUACUGCUUUUUCCUGAAUCCUGCAAGAAAAACUAGACCCCAGGCUCCACGACUUCCAGACUUCAGUUUUGAAAAAAAGCAGCCUGCAGAACUGCAAUCUGAAACUGAGCCUUUAGCUACUGGAGAGAGAAAGCUGCAGGAGAGUGAACAGUCAGAAGAUUCUGAAGAAACUACUCAAAUCAUUGAGACAAAGCAGAUAAAUAACCAAGUCCCAAGUCCUGAGCAGCUAAAUGAUAAGUUAGCUGAAGAAGUUGAAAAAGAGGAAGCAGAAAAUGAAAUGGAGUUUUCGACUGGUGAAGCAGAUUCUGCUAUUUCAGCUGAACAGAGUGAAGAAUCUGUAAUGAAAGCAGAAUAAAAAUACUUCAAGUGCCUUCUGUAGCUAGUUCUUUUAGCUUUGUUCAUGCCUGUUACUAUUCAGAUGCUGGAUUUGUAGAAAACUCUGAAGCAACAAAGACCUUCCAGCUAUCCUGAAAUGUUCUACCCUCUAAUUCCUUGCACCGCUUCAAGGAGCUCUACUCAAUUAAGGAAAUUUAAUUAUGAAUUGUUCAGCACAGAGACAUUUUACAAAAACACAAAAAUCAUUUUAAGAAAACUAUUUAAAAUGAGGUUUUAGAUGAAAUGUGAAAGUUAGUAUUUCUUACACAAUGUUUGUAGUUGCGUAUCUGUAUUUGUUGUACAGUAAGCAUUUAUUUAAACAGGAGAUACUAUAUUUAUAGAAUGUUUCAGUUCUUGUUGUUUAAUAGCCUUGUUGCAUUAGUAAAAAUUUUGUGUGUUUAUGUAAUAUAUGGUAUGAAUAGCCUCUUUAAUCAAAAGUACAUUUCAAUCUUUGCUGUGGUCUUGACCAGCAGUUACAUCACCUGUAAUUGAAAUGCCAUUUAAACCAAUGGCAAAGAUGUGGAUUACUGUGAAUUGUUAGUCUGAUAGACUUCAUAAUGAAAUCUCUCUUAGCUUUUCUGCUUGUAAUUGGGAAGAUAUUUAAGCUUGUGCUCCCCUUUUGAAAUAUAUUCUUAUUGAGUUCAACAAAUUUUAAAAAGAUGUAUAAAAUUAAAUUAUAUUGCUGCUUACUCAAAUAUGUGCUACCUUUGCUGUGUAUGUAAUUACUUAAGGAAAAACUUGAUUCUGAAAAGGCUGUUGAUUGUUUAUCUGAUCCAGAUUAUGACCAGAAUAAGAGUCAGGCUGCUCUUUGCCUAGUCACACUUUUAAGGUGACUUGUACUUUUGAGAUGAUGAUUCUUUUUAAUAAUUAAUUUUGUACUGGCUGUGCUCAAUCAAGUUGGAUUUCACAGACUUUUAAAUGGCCUUAUGUGUUACCAAAACAAGAUGGGGAUGUCCCUGCUUCUUCAGUGCAUUCGCACCCCCACAGUUGGACUGGCAUAGGUAGAAAACAAAAGUUGUUCAAGGUUGAGUAAGUUCUGAUAAGACCAAUUUAUCUACCCCACAAACAAUUGUGAAAGUUGUUGGUACAUGGCAUGAACAGCCAGCUGCUCUCAAAGGUCAGGCUGGCAUAAGACUGCAAAAUUUUGUGUGUGCAGUGAAGUAGAGGCACUGAAAACCUGCCCUGAUUCAGUAUAAAAAAUAUUGUGUAGCAACUUCAGGAGGAGACAGUAGAAUUCUGAAGAUACCGACUUUUUGUCUGUGAUUCCCCCAUUCCAUAAAUACAUACGUUUCAGGGUAGAUAUUAUAGGUUUUAUUGUACCUAAAUGGUGAUUUAUGUCCUUAUUCUUGCAUUAUUGUCCACAAGGUACUGCCCUGUGUCACAGGCCUGUAUUACCUAAUUUUUUCAGACUGUUUCAUUUUCAUUAGUACAACUGCUUUAGCUUGUGAUCAGUGUACUGCACCUCAUUGAUAAUCUAAGAGAGUAUUAGACGUGCAGAACUGACAUCUAACCCUGUCAGUCUGGCUGAUUGACCCCUCAGCUUCCGAAACAUGGGUUCAUUUUUUUAAAAUCCAAGUUAGCCCCACAUCCAUUUUCGCACACAUUCUGGGCAGUUUAAAGGUUGGUCAGAAUCGAAUAUUGCUCUUUCAAAUUUGAUAAUGUAUGAGUACAGAACUGUGACCUUUGAUACAUAGUAAUACAUCAACAUGACAUGAGCAGUAAGUGCAGCAAUUACCUUUACUACACUUGAGAUUGUGUUUUAGUUCUCAUCUCGUAAGCAAUUAUUUCAGGAAAAAAAGGAUGUCUCUAAGCUGAAUAUAUUUUGCAAAUAGUGUAAAUGCAGAAAUUAAUCUUUGGAGACUUUUUGAUUUACAGGUGAUUAUUUUUCAAAUGAAUCUUGGCUUUUACAUUAACACUGCUUCAGUAGUAGAAGGGAGUGAGUUCUGACUCUUGUGCUGUUGGCUUUUACAAUACUGUUUUCUGGGAGAAUCAUUUUAACCCUUUUUUGAUGUGUUCUGACGUAAUGUAAGGUUCAUAUUCUGACUUAUGGCUAAAGCCUGAUCCUGCAAGCGGUUGACAUGUCACUGUGUCCAUGUAGCUCCCGUGAUAAUACUCAUAAGAAUUAUAGUUGCAUGCAUGAAUGAUAACACAAGUCAACUUGUUUUUUUUCUUUCUAAGUAUCUUUUAGAACGCAUGAGAAUCCCAUUAGACCUGCACUGUGUAUUGAUUUAGAAGGCUGCUUUAGCUGCUCCAGCAAUGUUCCAUCUUUUUUCUGAUCAGAUCAAGACACAUUUGGUUUAGUUUCCAAGUCUUCUCCUUCACCUGUUGUUACAAAUUAUUUGGAUAAUGACAGUGCACAACCACUGCCUGAUAGGCACUAUAGAAACACAAAUCCAUGCUCCAUUGCCAAAGAGUAUAAAGCCUCUGCAGAUCUGUAAGAAGAGGAGCGGUUCCGGCUGUAGCUUCUGUUCUGUGGGUUAAAAAUCAGAAUAAAAUUACUAUGUUGUUCUGAGCAAGCAAUUGAGUAACCAUUGAAUGGUGAUUUUUCAUCAGUGCUGUCUGUCAUGAACAAAACUCAAAGGAAUAAUGUGCAGUAGAACUUACCGUUCUUCUAAAAUACCGGCUUCCUCAGCAGCCAAAGACUGAGCAUGUGGGCUUGCUAGAGUGCUUAUGCACUGAACUUUUUUCUCAGUGAAGAUUAUAAUUUGUAAUUCAGGAGCUAGCAGAAGUGUUUGUUCUGUUCUAUAUUGAGGUGAAAUCAACACCUUUUAAAAUAGGGGAUUUUUAAGCUGUCAAAAAUCUGUACGCUUAAUUCACAAUAAUGGUUGGCCUUAUUGGGACACUUAUGCAGGAGGCAGAAGACCAGUGUGGUGGUUUUGGAGUAGGUACUGAAGCCAGUAUCUCCCAAAUCUAAGGUGAGUAGGAAAGUAACUCUUUUUCUAGGGUGGGUUUCUUUUUCUAACUGCUGGCUUUGGGGAUGAUCAUUUGCUGUAUGUAUACAUUGGCCAUAAAUUGAUCAUAAACUUGAAAACUUUUUGAAUGAAAGUUUCAUCAAAAUGGAAAGGUCUCGCUGACAGAUUUUUCUAACACUUUCUAGCAACAAAUUCUUCACUAUCUGUAGUCUUGUCCCUCGUUUGGGAGGGAAAGCAAACAAAUACAGUAGAUCAUUACAUAAAUUAGUCCUAAUCAAAAUCUUGGUCAUACAAACCUUUCUGCAAAGCCACAAGGAAGGUCCUGUGUGGGGAAGUUCUGGAAGCAUGUUUCUGUGCCAUUUCUUGUUGCUUUGAACCUGUGCCACGUAAGGGGAACUUAGACCUUUACUUCAAAAUGAGAACUCCAGCUUUCUGGUAUUCUUUCAUUGAUUUUAAAUGUUAAUAGUACCUACUUUGUUUUGAAAGAAAUAAUCUUGUUGCACAGCAUUUUCCAUUAAAAAAUGUAAAUAGUCUGUAUGUGGAAAUCUUGUGCUGAAAAUGGCUGAAAACCAAAAUGGUUUUCAAACUAAGGUACUGUGUGUGUUGAUGACAUAGCAAAUGAAUGUGGUUGCAACAAUUCAAUGCGGAAGUCUGUUUUUCUAUUAAGACUCUGUUUUUAUAGGAAAGUUACUUACAGUAAAAGAGUACAAUUGUGCUGGUAGAUAACUGGGUGGAGAAGUAUAUUUGUUACUUUACUACAAAUAAAAAUGGCAAAACCUUGGCAAGUGUUAGAUCAUUACAAGUCAGUAUUUGUUGAUUGUUGUUUAUCCACACUGAAUUUAUUACUUCUAAUAAGAACUCUGACAUCUUCAGUUCUUCUCUCUGAACAGUAGUAUGUAAUGUUAAUCAUUUUUAAAGAGCAGACAACACCAGUAUUCCCCAACAGCAGUAGAAUCCCUCUUAUAGUAUCUGGAAAAUACUACUUUUCUCUCAUAUUUUAGAGAAGGGAGUGAAUAUGGUAUUUUUUCACCAUUUCUGCUACAACGAUAUUAAUAGAAAUAUUUUUCAAAAACACUAGCAUUUCUGCUUGUUUGAGCUAUUUGGCUACAGCUUUGCAUAGCUGAGGCUUUUUUAAAGAGACAGUGAAUGACAGCCUGGAUGCAGAAUGUAUUUUCCUUUUUUAGACUUAAAACUUAUCUUACAGGCUUGCAGUGGUGUGAAAUUCUCCUGAAAGGAGAUUGUUAGAUGACUGAACAAAUGGUGGGCGGUUGAAAUUGAGGGACACUUAAUGGGAGCUACUUGGCUAAGACAGUGUGCAUCUUAUUGUGAAUACUCCUGAUGUAAUAUUGAUGUAGACAUUAUGUCCAUCCAGUAAUGGAUGUCUCAUCUAUUUGAUUUUAAAAAUCUCGAUUGCUUUAAGAAUUUUCGCAGGAUGCAUUCUGAAUAAGUGUAAUGAUUCUGUGAGCUAGAAUAUUGUUAGCCAUUGUGAACAGUACUGAUGGAGUCUCAGUAUAUAUAAUGUGAUGGAUGCAAUUUUGUUUGAAUUUUUUUCCAAGGCCAAUUUAAUUUUGAUUUAUUUGCCUCAUUAACCCAAGGAUUCAGAAAAUUGAAUGCCACCUGAGUAAGGUAUUAUUAACACUAGUGAAACAUUUUCAAAAUCGCUCCAUGCUUAUAAAUUGGUUUUUGAAAGCAUUUUAAAGGCAUAAUGAUACUGUUGUGAAAAUGAACAGCCCUCUUUAAAAAUUGUAAAAUGCUUAUCUGAUUUCUGAAAUAAGACUUGGUCACCUGACUUAAAUAUAUACUGAUCUAUUAUUUAUGCUUUGAAAAUAGAGCUGAUAAAAAGCAUAAGUGUUCUUGAUACUAUAUUUUGUCAUAUCUGGCUAAAAAGAUUGAAAUCCAGAGAAACAAUUUUCUGAAGAAAUGAAAUAGUAUGCCCUCCUGAACCCCUGGGGAAAAUAGCCUCUCUGUUUACUCAGAAUAUGAAACAGUAAAACAGUAUAAGUAAAACAGACAGCCCAUGUCACAUUGCUAUUUGUACAGUUUGGAAAGAUGUUUUAAAAACAUUUUCUAGUUAUUUUUGAUAAAUAAAUGGUGCAAAUAACAUCUGCAAACCAACUCUGCCGAUGUAAGAUUUUUCAGAUCAGAUUUAUUUCUUGGUCAAAGUGAGAAAAUUGCUUUGCAAAACUAAAGUUGUAUAACUCUCAAAUAUGCAAAACAAAUGUACAAGAAUAUAUCUUGUUUCCCUUUUACUCUCCCUCAAAGAUACUAAUGCUGAUUCUCCAUCAUCUUUGCUUUUGGACUCAGAAGGUGGCUUGAUAAAUUUAUCAAAUAACAAAAAGCUUAGUUACUAAACAUAGACAUUUUUAGAAGUCAAUAUCUGAACGCUCAAAUUGGUACCUGGGCAUCCGGCUACAUUUUUGGAUCUGCAGCCUCCUUAAAGCCUUGAGAUUUCCAUUUGAGUCAAUGCCCCACUGAAAAAUGAGUUUAAGGGUUGUAUCACCCUCCGCAGGUGACGCAUCUAUGAUCAGGGAGGAACAAAGAAACUGUGUGUUGCCUAGGUGUUGCUUUCUGCAGGUUCUGCUGGAGACCCUCAUACUGAGGAUGAAUGAGACUUCUUCAAAGCCCUGCGGCUUCCAGGAGCACUCUCUUCGGUACGUGAACGCUGAUUUCUCCUUACUUUCCUUUGCUGUGAGGUGAAAACUGAGGUGGAAAUUCCCUGAGCAGCAGGGUUGGGAAGUCUGACGUCAUAGCUCCGCAGAUGCCUUGUUGCUGAAGACUAGCCCAGUAAGCACGUGUUGGGAGAGCCCCUGAAGCACUGCUCGCCUAGGAACUGGCUUUCGGCUGUGUUUGUGGAAUCUGCAUCUUCAAAGCAAAAUGUGUUUGGGCAGAGUUUCUCUCCUGCAAUGUUAUACUUGAGACUUCUGUUGUCUGUAGAGUUGGCUAAAGCCAACUUUUCUUUACUGAUAUUUUCAUAGGGUGCUUAGUGGACUCCAUCCCAGAAGGACUAAAUUCUGUGAUGUAUCUGCAGAGUACAAAAGGUGCAUAUUUUGUAAAUGUGUGUUUAAUAGAGAAUGCAAUAAAAGAAAGCAUUUCUGUUCAUUUUCUAUCCUGAAAUUUUAUAAAUAUAAUGAUUUAAUAAAGUUUACCUUUUGAGUUUAUGCAAGGCUGGAAUAUUGCUUGGCAUUGUAUUUUGACACCUGAACAAAGAAUAAGCCGUUGUGGGGUUUAUUAGACUAGUAACAUUUCAUUGAGUUAAUGUUUUUGUUGAACGAGUAACCUCUUGGGUAGGGAGUCUUUGUCAAGGUUGGGGUAGAAUUCUGGAACUGGUUUUUUUUAUGUUAUGGUUAUACGUGUUCACUGUCAUAUGUAAUUAUAGAGGUGUUAAUGGAAGACAUGCCACUCUGAAUAGUCUGAAUGCAUGUUUUCAUACAGCAAAUACAGAAAAGGAACAAGCAUGAUAAUAUUGUCCUAAUAAAGUCCUAAAAAACUCAA
Molecule: RNA transcript, 7855 nt
Organism: Dromaius novaehollandiae (emu)
Lineage: Eukaryota; Metazoa; Chordata; Aves; Casuariiformes; Dromaiidae
Gene: LNPK
Gene name: lunapark, ER junction formation factor
Exons: 14
Source: RefSeq, a predicted model, not a curated record